This 778-nucleotide ribosomal RNA is filed under the name uncultured Neocallimastigales. Its description in RNAcentral is "partial large subunit ribosomal RNA". It matches the Rfam family "Eukaryotic large subunit ribosomal RNA", at positions 23 to 643 of the family's 3401-position model. Lineage: Eukaryota; Fungi; Neocallimastigomycota; Neocallimastigomycetes; Neocallimastigales. The record is from RNAcentral.
GAGAUGUGUGAUGACGCAUAUCAAUAAGCGGAGGAAAAGAAACUAACAAGGAUUCCCUUAGUAACGGCGAGUGAAGCGGGAAGAGCUCAAAUUUGAAAGUCUUCAAGGUUCUACCUUGACGAAUUGUAGUUUAUAGAAGUGUUUUCUGUUAGUAGAGUGGCAAAAGUUCUUUGGAAUAGGACAUCAUAGAGGGUGAGAAUCCCGUAUUUGUACCAUUCUUUCUAGCUGUGUGAUACACUUUCAACGAGUCGGAUUGUUUGGGAAUGCAGUCCAAAAUGGGUGGUAAAUUUCAUCUAAAGCUAAAUAUUGGCGAAGAGACCGAUAGCGAACAAGUACCGUGAGGGAAAGAUGAAAAGAACUUUGAAAAGAGAGUUAAACAGUACGUGAAAUUGUCAAAAGGGAAGCGUUUGACACCAGUGUUGUUUUUCCGAAAAUCAAUUACGAAUGUUUUAGUUUUUGAGGAGUUAUGACUUCAUCGGCUUGCUUCCUUUCUUUAUGAAACUUUCUUAAUGCACUUUUCGGUUAACAAGUCAACAUCAAUUUCUUUUGUUGUAAAAGGGUAUGAGGAAGGUGGCUUUCUUUUCGGAGAAAGUGUUUAUAGCCUUGUACCUCUGCAAUCGGAGAGAUUGAGGUCUGCAGCGUAGAUCCUUCGGGGUUAGAUACAUUUGUGCUAAGUUAUAGCUUUUCAUAGACAACUUGUUGACUAUGUUUAGUCUUGUAGCUUACUCGCUUAUGCUAUUUUACCUACGCUUAGGAUGUUGAAGAUGUAGCACAUCAU